RNAcentral lists this ribosomal RNA (424 nucleotides) under Isochrysis galbana. RNAcentral's name for it is "partial Bacterial large subunit ribosomal RNA". It matches the Rfam family "Bacterial large subunit ribosomal RNA", at positions 1976 to 2397 of the family's 2925-position model. Lineage: Eukaryota; Haptophyta; Isochrysidales; Isochrysidaceae. The record is from RNAcentral.
GUAAGUUCCGACCUGCACGAAUGGUGUAACGAUCUGGACACUGUCUCAACCGUGAGCUUGGUGAAAUUGUAGUAUCGGUGAAGAUGCCGGUUACUCGCAACGGGACGAAAAGACCCCGUGCACCUUCACUACAACUUUACAUUGACUUUGGGUAAAUAAUGUGUAGGAUAGGCGGGAGGCUUUGAAACCAGGGCGCUAGUCUUGGUGGAGCCAUCCUUGAAAUACCGCCCUUAUCCUCAUUGACGUCUAACCGCGGCCCGUGAACCCGGGCCCGGGACCCUGCGUGGUGGGUAGUUUGACUGGGGCGGUCGCCUCCCAAAUCGUAACGGAGGCGCGCGAUGGUGGGCUCAGGUCGGUUGGAAACCGACUGAUAGAGUGCAAUGGCAUAAGCCCGCCUGACUGCGAGAGUGACAAUUCGAGCAGA